AUAAACGCUGGCGGCGUGCAUAAAACAUGCAAGUCGAACGAGGAGAGGCCGCAAGGCUGAACCGAGUGGCAGACGGCUGAAUAACGCGUAGGUGACUUGCCCGAAAGUGGGGAACAACGAUUCGAAAGAAUCGCUAAUACCGCAUGUGGUUGUGCGUGUAGGCGCGUGCAACUAAAGCCCGCAAGGGCGCUAUCGGAGAGGCCUGCGUCCGAUUAGCUAGUUGGUGGGGUAACGGCCUACCAAGGCGACGAUCGGUAGCUGAUCUGAGAGGAUGAUCAGCCAGACUGGGACUGAGACACGGCCCAGACUCCUACGGGAGGCAGCAGUUAGGAAUUUUGCACAAUGGGGGAAACCCUGAUGCAGCAACGCCGCGUGGAUGAAGAAGGCCUUCGGGUCGUAAAAUCCUUUUCAACGGGAAGAUACGGACGGUACCGUUGGAAUAAGCCUCGGCUAACUACGU
This 460-nucleotide ribosomal RNA is filed under the name uncultured bacterium. RNAcentral describes it as "bacterial SSU rRNA". It matches the Rfam family "Bacterial small subunit ribosomal RNA", at positions 29 to 506 of the family's 1533-position model. The record is from RNAcentral.